AACAGGAUUAGAUACCCUGGUAGUCCACGCCGUAAACGAUGUCGACUUGGAGGCUGUUCCCUUGAGGAGUGGCUUCCGGAGCUAACGCGUUAAGUCGACCGCCUGGGGAGUACGGCCGCAAGGUUAAAACUCAAAUGAAUUGACGGGGGCCCGCACAAGCGGUGGAGCAUGUGGUUUAAUUCGAUGCAACGCGAAGAACCUUACCUACUCUUGACAUCCAGAGAAUUUAGCAGAGAUGCUUUAGUGCCUUCGGGAACUCUGAGACAGGUGCUGCAUGGCUGUCGUCAGCUCGUGUUGUGAAAUGUUGGGUUAAGUCCCGCAACGAGCGCAACCCUUAUCCUUUGUUGCCAGCGCGUAAUGGCGGGAACUCAAAGGAGACUGCCGGUGAUAAACCGGAGGAAGGUGGGGAUGACGUCAAGUCAUCAUGGCCCUUACGAGUAGGGCUACACACGUGCUACAAUGGCGCAUACAAAGAGAAGCGACCUCGCGAGAGCAAGCGGACCUCAUAAAGUGCGUCGUAGUCCGGAUUGGAGUUUGCAACUCGACUCCAUGAAGUCGGAAUCGCUAGUAAUCGUAAAUCAGAAUGUUACGGUGAAUACGUUCCCGGGCCUUGUACACACCGCCCGUCACACCAUGGGAGUGGGUUGCAAAAGAAGUAGAUAGCUUAACCUUCGGGAGGGCGUUUACCACUUUGUGAUUCAUGACUGGGGUGAAGUCGUAACAAGGUAACCGUAGGGGAACCUGCGGCUGGAUCACCUCCUU
This 762-nucleotide ribosomal RNA is filed under the name uncultured bacterium. RNAcentral describes it as "bacterial SSU rRNA". It matches the Rfam family "Bacterial small subunit ribosomal RNA", at positions 771 to 1532 of the family's 1533-position model. The record is from RNAcentral.